GCUGUAGCUCGGUGGUAGAGCAUCUGCUUGACUUGCAAAGGGUCCCAGGUUCAAUCCUCAGCAGGAGCG
Molecule: transfer RNA, 69 nt
Filed under: Sphaerodactylus townsendi
Lineage: Eukaryota; Metazoa; Chordata; Lepidosauria; Squamata; Sphaerodactylidae
Description: tRNA-Val
Source: RNAcentral